Molecule: long non-coding RNA, 25429 nt
Filed under: Populus tremula
Lineage: Eukaryota; Viridiplantae; Streptophyta; Magnoliopsida; Malpighiales; Salicaceae
Description: long non-coding RNA (PTRE_LNC001647)
Rfam family: MIR2912 microRNA precursor family (bases 19155-19309)
Source: RNAcentral
AAUACUCAGGAGAGAGAGUGUGGGUAUUUGGAACAGAAUCUCUUCCAAGCGGGUUAAAAAUGAGAGGAGUGUAAAGAAGUGAUUUUGAGAGGUCAAUUCCAUGCAAGAAAUUAUAAGGCCCUUUACUACCGAAAAGAGCCACACCAGGUUGAGAGAUGGAUCCUGACAAGCACAUAGCAAAACAAUUUGGAGAGGAGGAGAAGGCUUUAUUGAUCUGCACUGGGAUUGAGAGGUUCGAGUUGCCCAGGGAGGCUAAGCCAGUUACACCCUUAGCCAGGCCUUUCAGAAAACCAGUUCGAGCACAGGAAAAGAUGAAGUUAUCGAUCGAGGAAAGGGAGCCUAGGUUAUUGAGCAAGGCGAGAUAGUCAACAAGGGCAUCGUUGAGGCCAUUAACUUUUUUGUAGUCAACAGGUUUGAUGGGGUUAUCGGGGAGGAAGAGGAAAGAGUUGUUUGCACAAUUUGGACCCGGUGGACCGUCGCAAAUGUCCACGCAACCAUAAGAACCAAGAGAAUUAGCGAUGGAACUGUUACAGGGGACAUGUUGGUAAGUAGAGGAAAUGUAGUCGUCGCAAUUUACCCAGCUGUAUGUAGCACCAAGAUCCAAUAGCAAUUUGGUGGGCAUGAGAGGGGUUUUUAGGUAUGCAGUGAUGAUAUAUUGGCUGGUUGAAUGGUCCUUCUGGAUUGGCGUUUGGAGGGGCGUUUGGAGGGGAGGAGCUGCCUGAGAAGGGAUGCACGAUAAGAGGAAGAAAAAAAUCAGAAGAGGGACUGCUAGCUUUGCCAUUGAUGAUUGUUUCGAGUGUUGUUGAGAGCAGGACUAAUUAUGAUCUAGAUAAUCAUGUGAGAGUCAUUUAUAGAGUUGCCAUGGAGUCCUGUGUUACAUGGGAAGUACGUGCAUGUUCUGUUCUGCCGGCGAUGAAUCUCAAGAUCUCUCUGUGUGCUGCACAUGACGGCAUACCGCUUAGGAAUUUUGCCUCCUGUAAUUGACUUGACUCGGAUAAAGAAGCAACUUGUAGCAUUCUGUGAGUGUGUGUCUUCAUGGAUAACACAAACAUGGUUUCCUAAAAGUUGAUAUAAAUGAUUAGUUAAAAAAUAUAUAUUGGAGAAACGUAUUUGACUUUUCGUCCAGAUAUAUUCCCUAAUUUUGCAAAUAUGUAUAUAUAUAUUUUUUGGUAAUUUAUAUAUUCUUUAAUUAAAACUGUUUGCAUUAAAAAAAUAACUGUUCAUGCCAUGGUGGUGCAUUUAUUAGUUUAACCCACUAAUCUACCUCUACGAAGGUGAACAACAAAAUAAUUGAGAUUUAGUUAGUGUUUGGCAAAGUUGCUGGUUGCAGUUUGUCAAUUUUUUUUUACUAUUUAAAAUUAAUUUUUUAGUGUUUUUGAAUCAUUUUUAUGUGUUGAUAUAAAAAAAAUUCAAAAAUAUAUUAUUUUUGAUGCAUUUUUGAAUGAAAAAUACUUUAAAAAGUAACCACUAUCAAUAUUAUAGAAUGUAUAUAUAUAGGAAAUAAUAUAGUCAUACUCUUGUGUUGUAAUCUACCAUUACUAUUGUAUAUUGCCCUACACAUAUAUAUAAAAAAAGGUUGGCUAACUAAUAGGUUAAGCCUCCUAAUUAUUCUCAACUUGGUAUUAGAGCCUUCUGCAAUCAAAACUCUUAUUUCCUCUCCCUAUGGACUCUGCUGUUGCUGCCGCCUUUUCCCCCCACCAAACUGGCAGUGCAGCCCAGCCAUUCAGAAGCUGUUGCUAAUGGUUCUUUCUCCCACUAGCAGCAACCCCAACCUACAGAGCAGAACCAUGGUUCCUUCUCCCAUGUUUUUGUCGUCCUACUUCACAUCAUAGGGACAACAACUCCUUCUAUCGUUGCAUUAUCCAACAAUCAUCAAGUGGUUUCAUUGAAGUUUACGAACACUAACUAUCUAUAUUGGUAAAUGCAGAUUAAGCCAUGUUUUAUUGGUUAAGAUGUUUUCCACUUUGUCGAUGGUUUAGUGUCGUGUCCUUCCUCUCAUGUUUCUGAUAGUUUUGAUGGCUCUUCUUCGACAAUCAACCGUUAUUUUCUUCGAUGGAAGCAACAUGAUCAGCUUAUUUUAAGCUCGUUACUCUCCCCUCUCUCUAUGAACAUCCUGCAUCUUGUGGUAGAUUGUCAGACUUCUUCUUGUGUUUGGCGCACUUUUGAGAAAGCGCUUGCUUCUCCGUUGAAUUCUCAUAUUAUGCAACUCCAUGGUCUUUUCAAGAUCUUCAGUAAGGAGAUGCUUUGGUUGCUACAUACAUGCAGCACGCUAAGUCAUUAUUUGAUGAAUUGGCUCCUGCUGGCCGACCCCUUUCUUUUAAAGACUUCAACCUCUAUAUAUUUUAUGGUCUUUGUGGUGAGUUUAAAGACUUGGUAACUAGUCUCAUGACCAAGGCAGAAUCACUAUCAUACGCUGACCUUCACAACUAUCUUCUUACUCAUGAGUUUCUGUAUAAGACUUCUCUUCAAUCCUUGGAUGUAAAUUCACCUUUACUGCCCAUACCAUCUUUGCUGUCCUCUGCUCACCUUGCCCAGCACAUCAUAACCCCAAUUUUAGACAUAACAAAGGUCGUUCUUGCGGCAAUUAGAUCUCCAAUAGCAAUAGGUACAACAACCAACACAAGUUUGAUUUUCACGGUUCUCAUUCCUUUGCUUCCAUGAACUAGAAGCAGGGUCAUUGGCAGCAACCCAAACAACCUACUACUGGUGGGCAGUGGACUCCUCACCGGUCCUUCGACCAGAACGUUAAGUGUCAGCUAUGCUUUUACUUCAGCUACACAGACCCGUAAUGUGCUCAGCUUCGUAGCAAUGGUUACCAACCCUCUGCCUAUUGUGUUGGUAUUGUUUCUACCCUUACUUGGUUUCCAGACACUAGUACGAACCAACACGUUACGCCUGAUCUUGCAAUUCUGACUGAUUAUGCACCUUAUAAAUGAUCACUUGAAUGUUGGUAAGGGUCUUUCCAUAUCACAUAUUGGGCAUACCAUGUUACGUUCCUCUAAACGUACCUUUACAUUAUCUAAUGUUCUCUAUGUUCCUUACAUUACUAAACCAUUGCUAUCUGUUUAAAAUUUUUAUCGUGAUAAUAACGUUUAUUUUGAAUUUCACGCCUUUAUGUUUUAUGUAAAGCAUCUCACCACGAAAGCAAUUCUCCUUCCGGUCAGAGCAAUGAUGUUCGAUAUAUGUUCUCUCCCUUUUUCCACCACCAUUCCUCAAGCUUAUUGGUCUCUUUGGAUCUUUACGACUGUUGAUCUUUGGCAUCAUUGAUCGAGUCAUCCCACUUCCUGUAUUUUUAAUUUGUUAGUUUUUAAAAAUAAAAUAAUGUGUACUUCUAGACACUCUCUUGUUUAAUAUCAAGCUUGUCCGCUUGGCAAGUUUUCGCGUUUGUCAUUGCGACCUACGGGUCAUAAACUACUACCCCCACUUAAUUUAAUAUUUAGUAAUGUUUGGGGCCUUGCUCCUAUGUUUUUAUCUGAUGAUUUUUGUUACUUUGUUAUUUUUAUCGAUACGCAUACAAAAUGUAUAUGGUAUUAUCCUCUUGUUGUAAAAUCUGAGUGUUUUUUAUAUUCUAAAGUUUUCAAGGGUUUGUUGAGUGUUAAUUUUCCCACAAAAUUAAAUCUGUUCAAACUGAUUGAGGUGGUGAAUAUCAUAAGUUAAACAAUUUCUUUCAAACUAUUGGUAUUCAUCAUAGGUUAAUCUAUCCUUAUAUGCAUGAGCAAAAUGACAGUGUUGAAUGUCGCUAUCGUUAUAUUGUCGAAACCGGUCUUACCCUCUUAGGCCAAUUUAGUGCUCUGUUACGAUUAUGAAUUUAUACAUUUGAAUCAUUAGUAUAUCUUACCAAUCAUAUGUCUACUCUUGUCCUUCAAAAUUAGUCUCUUUUUGAAUGUUUGUUUAAUCGUACUCUUGAUUAUGAUUUUCUACGUACUUUUAGUGUCUUUGUUUUCUAUUUUUGCGUCCAUAUCAUGCUCAUAAGUUGGAUUUACAUUCAUCUCCAUAUGUGUUCUUAGGUUGUAGUUCCUUUCAUCUUGGUUAUCGUUGUCUCGAUUUCGUAUCUUAACGUAUAUAUGUCUCACAUCAUGUUUGUUUUAAUAAAGGUGUGUUUCCUUUUGUAGAAUCUGAAUAGAUAGCCCACCCACCAAGCACUCCUUCCCAAUCCACACAUUUGCUCGCCUUGAUUACCCCCUAAAUUUUCUCCCUAUUUAGCUGCCAAACACCACACCCAACAGAUUUGCCACCCUCUCUAGUUCCACCCACACAACCCCACCAUUCCUUACCCUUACUUGCCACUAUACCACCACUACCCAGCCUUGCCCCUAUAUCACCAUCUGCAUGUUUCUCUAAUGAUCAUUAUACAGGACCAUCUUCACCUCUUUUAGAGUUGUAUAGUUCUAGGUUUGUCACUACAACCACCUCUGAUUCUGCAGCAGGUUCUCCUACAUUUGCUAUUGUAAGCUCUGGUCCUUAAAAAGAUUCUCCUGUAAGUCUGUAACUCUUUGUUGAUCUCUCAUCUUAUCCUCUUCAGUAGCUUCUAGUUCAGAUUCUUCUACCCCUUGAUCUGCUACUCGUCAGCAUUUGAUGGUUCUUCGUCCUCAACUGCUGAAGACUGCCCUCCUCACAGCAUCUGCAGCCACCUCUGCUGCUCCUCACUAUUGGGUAAUGUCUUCUCCUGCUUGUGAGCUGCUUACAUUCUCUGAUGCUUACAGGUAUGAGGUGUGGCAUGAUGUUAUGCGCGAUGAAAUUCAAGCCUUACGCUUUAAUAACACCUAGUCCCUAGUUCCUUUUCAUCAUUCGAUGAAUGUUGUUGGUUGCUAGUGGGUGUAUAAGAUAAAGUGCCAUAUGGGUGGCAAUGUUGAGGGCUAUAAGACAUGUUUGGUUGCCAGAGACUUUACUUAACAAGAAGGAAUUGCUAGAGGCCAUAUCAAUAUAAAAACCAACAUUUUAUAUGCAAAGCUAAUGAAAUGAAAAGUUCAUAUAUCUAGAUUACUAUAAUUGUGUGUAUAGGUAAGCUUCACUUGAACUUCAGAAAACAAUUGAAUAUGCAACUAAUUAUACUGGGCUUUCCUUCUUUAACUGGCACUGUUUUUAAUUUAGUUAGUUUUAAUUUUUUUUAUAUAUAAAUAAUAUAAUUGUAUUAUAAUUAUAAACAAACUCAAAUAUUUGGAUUUUUUAGGUGCUUCACUAUUUUUUAACUUAUGUCUAUUCUUUUUAUUUUUAUCUUUAAUUUUUUUCCGAUUGAAUCCUUUUAUAGCCUAAUUAGAUUAGAUUAAGUUUGAAAUUAUGGUAAAAAGAUCAUAUUCAAAAAUAGAGGAUUGAAAUGUAAAAAUCAGAGAAAAUAUAUGGUUAAUCCCAAGUUCAUGAUUUGUUUUUUGUCUAAAAAGUUCAUUUUGUUUAUUUUUCAAUCCAUUGGUUUGAAAGAGUAACGAGAAACUCACCAGAUUACACUGAAGGAAAGAAAAACUUGUCAGUUGGUCUUGUUCUAGCGAGAAAAAUCGAUCUUGGUCUCAACGGUUCCAUUUGAUAAGAUAAGUUCCAUUGCGAUGCUUUAAGACUUUAAGCUUGCCUCAAAAAAUUGAUUGAGGUCGAGAGAUAAAUUUUUUUCGAUUUAAAUUUUUGUUUAUGGAAAACUUUAAGGGUGUUUUGAGUUGAAAGAAUGAUUUAGUGAGGUUUCUAGGGUGUUUCUUAUGUUUAAUUUUAGGUUAAAAUGGUUAAAGAAUACAAUUUUAAACCCACAAACACCCCAUCCUGAUUUUUCUAUCGCUUCUAGGUGGGCAAAAUCUAGGCUAACAGAUGACGCGUUGUUUGCAUUAUUUUUUCAAAUAAGAAAUGGCGAACAACAUUAAUAAAUAAAUAAAUAAAUAAUAGAGGGAUAGCCAUAUGCACCUCUACAUUUAACAAUUUUACCAACAGAGUAUUCUGUCGGUAUUUAUUCUACCAUUCUAUCAGCGUGAAUUUUACAGAUUCAUUCAAAAAUGUCAGUUGGUAAACCUCUCGUUGGUAAUUUAUUUUGUGGACAUUUCUGUUUGUAAAAAAAACCCGAUAAAGCAUUUAUGGGCUGUGGUUCACCGCACUAAACCGUUAAAUUGCCGGCUCCAAUUCCUUGCAUCGAACUGUGAGUGUCGUGUGAAAUGCUCAGACAUCACAUGCUGGAUAUAUUCCGCCCAUAUAUUCUUCGAGAUGUAUGGCAGCCUGAAAUCCUUCCAAAUCAUCAUGUCAUUCUAGCAUGGUAGAGCGUUUUCUCUCACAUAUUUUUAGAUUGUUUUUGCACCUCAUACAAAAAAUCACACAACCUACAUGAUACAAACGUAUUCUAUAUGUGUUAAUGACAAAUGAAAUUUUAAUAUUUAAGAUAAAAAAAAUUAUCGUAUUGUUUUCGAUGUUUCCUAGUUGCAGCGUGAUUCUCCUAAACCUCCUUACAACAUUUCAUUUGCUCUAUCCCACUCAAAUUUAGCCUUGCAUUAAAAAUUUAUAAAAAAAUAAAUCAAUAAUUUCAAUAAAGUAAACGAAUUAACAUAAAAAAUAGCUGAAAUUUUAAGUUAACAUUAACCUUAAAUCUUGUAAACCAUGCAUCGACAUGAGAUUUCCAAUCAGGAUGUUUGAAAACUUGGAUCCAUUGAAACAAUAGAACUUUUAUCUAUCAUUUAAACACCAAUGUUAUUACUCAGACAACCUCAAUGUUUGUGAACAUGAAAAUCAAUAAAUUUAAUGAAAUAUUAUUUGUUCAUAAAUUGUUAAAUAUAUACCAGCUCAAAACAAACAAACUUACAUUGAAAGGUCUUCCUUCCAAUGCGCCUUAUGCUUGCGGGUGAAUGGAUCCCGCUAUGAAGGGACACCUUCUCUACGUUAUGGAACUGCACUUGAAGAGGCAGCGUUGUACAUCGAUAGGUCCCUCUUAUUGGUCGGCACCUAAUGACACGUUAUUGUCAUCAUUACUGUUAGAAGAACUAGUUGCGAUAAUGUGCUCACGAUGUGCAAUUGAUUUUCCCCUAUAGAUCUACACAUAUUGUCCAACUUUGCAUAACCAAUUUCGAUUCUUUUUUAAAAACAUUUGGUAGCACCUCUCAUAUACUAGAAACUACCUAAAAUUUUUAAUCCUACAAAUAUACAAUAUAUAUGCCACAAACCAGUUGAUUUUAUUUUAUUUCUACCAAUAAUUUUGGAUUAUUCACUUUCAUCUCAUUUUCAAGAAAAAGUUUUUAAUCCUAAAUUGACAAGAAUUUUUUUGUAAUUAAAUUUAAUCCUAUAUAUUUAAUUGACAUUUAUACUACAAAUUUGACAAUAACAAUUAAAAUUCAAUAGAACAAUAAAAUAUUUUUGCAAUGUAGACAAUAAAAUAGAAAAAAAAAUAAUACAAAAACAAAUAUAGGCUUUAGGAAUGAAAAAGUCUCACAUUAAUGGUGUGCUGACUUUCAUAGUUUAUCUACGUGUGAUACAUAAAAUAAAUAAAUAAUAUAUUGUUAAUAAACCGAAGAAAAGAAGAAAAAUAGGAAGAAAAUAUGUCCAAAGAGUCACCACAUAUACCGUUAAUUGUGUUGAGAGAAAAAACCUUAAAUUCUACAAUGUGGGACUAUAAUUAAGGAGCGGAUUGAAGUAGGAGAUGAUUUGAGAGAGUGAAAGUGAGAGAAAAAAAUAAAAUCUUAGUGUCCUCGUUGGGUUUUAUACUACAUUUUAUCGAGGGAAUCACUGAUGAAAAUUAAAUAUUAUUUUAAAGUAUUCCAUUGGUGAUUCCCUCGGUAAUGUCACCUUGAAAUUUUCAUUUCGUACUAAAAUUUUCAAAAAACCCUCUAGAUUUUUUAAGGAUUAUACGUGAUUUUGUUGAUAAAACUGUAAAUACUACAUGAUAAGAGAUGCAUAUUUGUAGUCUGUCGGCAAUUCCCUCGAGAACUUGAAACUCACUUAGUGGACUUUAAUUGCCAUCACUGAUAUGAAAAGGGGAACAAUUCCCUUUGUCUCUGGAAUACACCGAUGGUUUUCAAUCCAUCAAAAUUUUCAUCGGUGUUUUGCAUAGUGAACAGUGCAGGGAGGAGAGGAAUAAUUCCCUUCCCCUCUAGAAUACAUCGACGAACAUGAAUCGUUGGCAUUUCCAUCGGUGUUGUGGACCGUGACCAGUGCUAGGGGAGGGAAACAAUUCCCUUCGCCUCUAGAAUAUAUCAAUGGACCCGAAUCAUUGGUAUUUGCAUUGGUGUUGUGGAUUGUGAGUAGUGAUAGGGGAAGGGGAACAAUUCCUUUCGCCUGUGGAAUACAUCAACGAACACAAACCGUCGGUAUUUCCAUCAGUGUUUUGCAUAGUGAAUUGUAAGAUCCCACAUCAGCGGUUGAGGGUUGUGUUGCUGGCCUUAUUAGUAGUGCUGGUGCUAACAUGUUGAACGCGUUUUGGGACGUCAGGCUCAGUAGUAGGCUCGCGUCACCAAGAACAAAACCGUGAGGGCGGUAAGGCCUAAAGCGAACAAUAUUCAGCAUGUUGGGCCGGGCUGUUAGAGAAUGAUGUCAGAUUGUAUCUGUAUUCCCUAACUAUCCAUCAUGGAAAUACUUAAAUUGACACGUACAAUAUAAUAACACAAGUUCACAUAACAAUUAUAUAUAUAAAAAAACUUCUUUGUUGAAAAUUUCAUCAAUAACUAUUAUAUUAUAGUUUAUGGUAUUACACUUUCGUGUUUUGAUAGUUUGUUAGAAUUAUCUUCUUUUUUAAUUGACUCGUCUUCAGCUCCAUCAUAAUUUUCUACGUUGAUAACAUUGCUAUCAUCAUUUUCAUUGACUCGUGCUUGUCGAUGAAGCUUAGAACAACAUUCAACUUCUCAGCGUCAACAUCAACAAAAAAUUAUUGAAGAUGCAAAAAUUUGAAUUUUCUUCUAACUUAAUCGAUGGAGCAACUCGAUAUGGUUCAACCAACUUACUAACUUUAAAGAUAUCAUCUCCUAAAAAUUUGAAUAAAAAGACUCUAUCUUAGUAUAGACAAUGUAGCACUAGCAUUCAUUUCCAGUUGAUAAACCUUGUACAUCAAGUACAACAAUGAAUAGUAAAUGAGAAUUUUGUAAUGAAAUUAAGUAUCCUGAUAAAUAAUGAGUUUAUGAUAGUAUUUACAUGUGUUUUGAACCACGUGAUGAAUUGUUCAUCUUGUAAUCGAAAGAUUUGGUCGGUCAAAUAUGAGUUAUUAGACAUUAAAUAUUGAUGACAUUGCGUACGAUUAAGGUAUUCAACAAGAGAUAAUUAGUCUAUUUAUAACAAAGUUUAAGUGUUAUAUAUACUUCUUGAAUAAAAAAUCUCAGUUCAUCAUAGUUAAAUAACACAUAAUUAUGUGCUUGUCUGAAUUCUAUUUCAGACAAAUGUCUUCCUCGACAACAUUUUUUGGUGUGUCAUCCAGAAUUGGAGAAUAUUGACAAGUUCCCUCUCAAAGGCACUACACGACCAUCGUCAUGUCUUCAAACACGGUUGAUUCUUGUUCUCAAAUAAGGCUCGAAAUAGUACAAGAUAAAUGUUGAGAUCUCCUUAACAAUAUAGGCCUCACAUAUUAAAGCCUCAACAUGCACCUUGUUUUUAAUAUUUUUCUUAAGGUUGAACAAGUACCUGCAUGGAAUUAAACAAAUGUUUUCAAUUAAAAAAAAACAAUGAAAAUACAUUUUUAAUUACAAAGCAUGUGUAAUCUCUAACUUCUUGAAUGGAUACAUCCAUCUAUAUUGGACUAAACCUCUAAAUUUUGCCUUAUAUGGUAAAUGUAUGGGUAGAUGCCCCAUUGAGUCAAAAAAUAAUGGAGGGAAUAUCAUCUCAAUUUUGCAUAUUGUUUAUAAUAAGAAUGCUACAUGUUCUGCACUCGGUCAACUUAACAUUUUUAAGGGAGUACAAUAUGCAGAAGUUUGGACACAUGUCAAUUUUCUAGUAGUUGAGACCGAGGGGUUUUAUCAUGGAUUUAAUAAUAUAGAAAUUCUCUUUCAGCCUGUUCCCUUUAAGUAAAAUUCUUUUCGCCUAUUCGACAAUUCUAUCGUAACCGGCCUCACUUAAUUCAUAAUCUGACUUGAUGGUAAACACAUGUGCAACGACCAAUAAUUUAUGAUUUGUGUAAUCAUCCCAUAAUGGUUCGUCAGAAUCUUUCAAAAGAUAAAAAAACCUAGUCGCAUCUGUAUUAGGUUCUUCAUCUAUGAUUAGACAUUGAGUGACAUGACUCUGACUUAUUCUCAUCGCAUCCAUAACCAUAGUCCUAUAAGAAUUACUGUUGUCAUUUACAACUCCAUACAUGUUGUUAACACUAUAAGUUGACCUAACCAUCAUUUCUAGCAUGGUCUCGCGAGGACCAAAUGGUUCUCCAUAUGCAUACCAACACAUGUAUUCCUCUAUGAAUCCUUUGUGAAGAAGAUGCAUCGUUACAACAUCUGGAUUAAGAAACUUUUUAUUUUUACACAUCUUGCAUGGACACCUAAUACCGCAUCCACUACUAAUAUUUCUUGGAUUAGAUGAUGUGUAAUUAAUAAAACCCUGAACCCCAUUACAAUAAUCCAUCCUCCACAAUCUUUGUGGUGAAUCUCGAUACAUCCAUGAUCGACCAUCUAUGAAUUCUAUCGAACCUAUAUCAAAUAAUGAUGAAAACAUAAAUUAGUUAACUACGUUAACUAAACAAACUUGCAAAAAUAUUGGUUUAGCUCAAAAUUAUCCAACCUACUUUAAUACUUCUCUUAAUUCAUUAUCAAUUAUCUAUGUACAUACAAAUUUGUAUAUAUUUAUGAAAAUUACAACUCGGCAAUAAAAUUGUCAAAAUAUAAAACAGACUCGUUAAACAAGCCAUUAUUUAUUUCAUCACAACCCACCUAAAUCGGUAAUUCGAUAUAAGUUUCAAUAAUUUACAAACAAAUAUAAUUUUAUAAAAUCUAAAACAAACCAUAACAUGUACAAAAUCAUAAAUCCAUACUACAAGUUUGUUUAAGAAAAAAACAAUAAAACAAGUAAACACCCAAACAAAAUACAUAUACUACAAAAAUAUGCAAUAAAAAAUUAAUAUUUUAAAAUUGUGUUCAAAUUAAAGAAAUGGUUGAUUUACUUACUUAAAAUUAGAAAAUCCACAAUAAAGUUUCAAUUAGAACACUGAUGCUAUCAAACAGAGUGCUACUGUGAUUGAAAAAGUUGAGGAAGAAUGAGUUGUCUGGAGAUGAGGUGGGAUGUUAGGGGGGCUAUUUGUUUAGUUGCAGAGGGGUUUUUUAAUGAAGAAGGAGAAAUAGGGGAGGGAGGGGAGGGUCGAUGACUAGGUCAUAUAUUAACUAUUACCGAUGAAUUUAAUGACAUAAUUUCUAUGUUUGUCAAUCCAUCAACAAUUCUAUCGGUAUAAGUGACAUGUCAUUGUAUGGUCUUCCCUGUUUGAAUCCAACUAUAAUUCCAUCUGUAAAGGCAUCCGCAAAAACUUACACAUCAUCGUACUAUUUGGUUUUUUUAAAUUCCUUCUAUUCCAUUGGGAUUCCUUCGGUAUAUACUGAUGGAGUUAGCGAUGAAAAAAUUCAAUCGGUAAAAAUCACCUCAAAAUACUAAUAGAAAAAAUUCAUCGGUGAUUUGGUUUGAAUUUGUAGAUUUUCUAUUAGUGAUGAGGCUAGCCUAGCAAGCCCACUCCCAUCUGACCUUGGUCUAUUGGGCUAGGUGUGAGACUUUUAUCCUUUUUUUCUUGUUCUUAUGUUUUUGUCUUUUGCACUUAAAAACAAAUUAACAUUGUAUUUCAAUUAUUAUUCAAUGUUGUCAUGUUUCUCAAAUAAUAUUAUUGGUUUUUAUGGAAAUCUUAAUAUUUUUUAUAAUUAUUAUGUGCUUAAUAUGAAAAACAAAUCUCAUAAAUAUUCAAUUAACAUAAAAUUUCUGUUUUCUAAGAUUUUCAAUAAAUUUUUUAAAUAAUUUUAUAACAUUUAUCAUAUUUUUUAAUCUUUAAUCAUAUAUAAAAUCUCAAGACUUUGUUUUAAUUUUUUUUUUUAAAACAUGCUUUUAAGACCAUCAUGAAUUUUUAUUUAAAAGGUAGUGUUUGCAAUUUACAAAGCGUCCCGGCACUUGGAGUUCCAUUUAUAUGGUCAAGCUUGCAUUCAUUGUUUGUGGCAUUUAAUAUUAUAGAUUCCUGUUACUUAGUUAUCCUUGGGCAUUAUUGGUCGGGGUAUGGAUUUCAAAGGUGUCAAGUGUGUGAUUAAUUAUGAUUUCCCAGAUUGGUAUGUUUCUGAACCUCUGGAUACACUCCUAUGUCUAUAUGCGAGGUGAUUGCAUAUAAGUUCAUUAAAGUCUGACAAAAAUGGAAGAAGCCAUAACCAUGUUGUGAGCACCAAUAAUAGUGAAAGACAUUUUGAUCCAAUUUAUCAAUCUGUUAGCCUUAGGCAUUGAACUGUCAUUUAUUUUAAGAAGAUACCUUAAUUUCCUCAUUUUCACUGUGCCUUGAGUGUCUUUAAUUCUGAUUUUGUAUGAUUUUCAUCUGAUAGUUACUUACAUCUGUUUCAAGCAAUUGUUUUUAAUUAUAGUAUGGAAUUGAAUUGCCACGUUGUGAGUAUCAUUUACAAACGUACUAGAGAAAUGUGAAAGCAGUGUGUUGUGGAGCUUGUGUGGAUUAAUAAUGGAGUUGCCAAAGGAAAAAAAGAGCAACAGUUAGAGGAACCCAUCUCCUCUUCCUUGCAUUGUUGUGCAAGUUGUUGAUUUUGGCCACUAAAAAUAACCACAAAAUCAGAAUUGGAGGAGCUGCCAUUAUUAUUAUUACUAUUAUUCUCUUGAAGACCAAUACUGGUGGUGAAGCUAGGAGAAAAGGACUUGUAAGAAUCUUGCAAUUCUUGUAAACAAUUGUUGUUUCCUGGCUUAGCAGCAAGAUUUGGAAAAUUAAAUGGGUUGAGUUCUUCAUCAUCGUCAUCAAAAGUCAAAGAAGUCAAGCACUCAAAAGCAAGGUUGUUAAUUUCGUUUCGAUAGGGGUUUCGUUUUUUUUAAUUUGAAUGGAAUGGAAUGUUUCAGUUUCGGAGUGUUUCAGUGUGCCGUUUCGGGGUUGUACUGUUUAUAUAUAUUCAACAAACAUAAUUCAAAUUCAAGAUAAAUUAAUUAUAAAUUAUGCAAUACAAACACAAUACCAAACAAAUAUAAUUUCAAAAUUUAAAAUAUUUCUAAAUAGUCAAGGUUAAAUAGAUCUUUAACUUAAAGUAAUUCAACUUAAAUAAAAUAUCAAAAUAUUAUGAAAGUAAAAUGUUUUAACAAAAAUAUUUUAAAUAUAAAGUUAGGUCAAUGUUAUCAAGUGGCUAAUGGAAUCUAAAGCAUCCCUUGUUUUGCUCAAAUUCCUACAAAGUAUAAACAUGAAAAACAACAACAUGAAUAUAAACCAUAUAUAUUAGUGAUAAAUCUAAUUUUAAAAAAUUAAUAUCAUUGUUAAUGAAAAUAGUAAUAAUAAUUUUCAAUAUUAUUAUUAAUAUCAUUACUAUUGAAAAUAGUAAUGAAAAAGAGCUUUUUAUAAUCGGGUGGUUUAGAUAAUGAAAUUGAGCAAGGUUCAAUUUGAUUCAAUGGCUUUUCAAGAGCGGAACGGAACAUGUGAAAUGAAUACGGAACGUUUCGGGCGGAAUUUAGCUGAAAAAUCCGGAACGGGCCGAGAUUUAAAAUGAGAUGAAAUUUAUUUCGUUUUUUGAAUUGGUAUGAAAUGUUUCGGUCAUUUCGGGCGGAACGGAACAGAAUUGACAACCUUGCUCAAAAGGGGUUUUAUAAUUCUUAUCGAUGUUGAUACUGCUGUUUUUUUUUUAAUUAAUAUUGAUAUCAAAUUAAAUUGUAUGUAUUUUAAUUAAUUUUACUAGUUUUAAAAUUAAUAAUUAUGUAAAUUUUGAUUAAGAACUCACACUUGUAAUCAUGACUUAAGUCUGUCGAUGCAAUUGUUUUAAAUUUAAAUUCACUUAACGACAGAAUUAUUGUUUGAAGUUUAAAUUUACUGUAACGAUAUAAUUGUUGUGUGAAUCUUAAAUCAACUAUGACAAUUAAACUGAUAUUUCAAAAUCUAAAUCGGUUGCAACGGUGGAUCUAUUUUUCAAAAUUUUAGGUGUUUUAUGGAUGCAGGGGUAGGUAUAUACAAACUCAUUUUUUUUUUCUCUAAUUUCUUUUAAUAUAUGCAUCCUUUUAUUCAUUUAUUUGAGAACUCGAACUUUUAUUACAAAGCUAGAUAGGCCUGUCUUUGCCCCUUAGCUUAACGAAGGUAGAAAAACUCAACGAAAGCAUGCAUACAGUACAUGAUGUAUAUCAUAAAUACAUCAUCUUUUUAGACUUUUCUGGUAGGAAAUUUGUAGUCUGCGCAUUUGGUCCCCUUGGACAAAAUUGAUGAACUGAAACCCAGUUUCUUUGACUGUAGAUCGAAUUGUAGCAAAUUGUCCUCCAACUGGAGACCACCAAUCACGAUCGAUGGGCCAUCAAUGGUCCCACCAUCCACAACACCCAAGCACCAAAGAUCAACACUCUGCUUUGUAACCCUCACCAUAGAGUUCGAUCCAAACAUCUUCCAAACCACAUCUUGUCUAUCCAACACAAGUUCGAUUAUUGGUACAGCCGGUCCCAUUUGUGUAGUCUUCACAGCACCCGCAGGGUAGCAGACUCUGAAUGGCUUGACAGGCUUUGUUGUAGUAAGAUUGAAAGCAGAGGAAGCUGCUUCCUUCAAGAAAGCCAGAGUAAAAGCCUUGUAAAUAGAACUCUGUAACUUCGUGUAUGGCACAAGAGUGCUGAUCCUGGUCCCCCCAGAACCAGACUGGUCAUCAAUGGCCAACAGCGCUUUGUCAAAAGCCACCAUCUUUCCGUUCACUUUUAUGGAAGUCAGCCCUACAUAAUAUUCAGGAGAGAGUCUGUGGGUAUUUGGAUCCGAAUCUCUUCCAAGCGGGUUAAAGAUAAGAGGAGUGUAAAGAAGUGAUUUUGAGAGGUCAACUCCAUGUAAGAAAUUAUAAGGCCCUUUACUACCGAAAAGAGCCACACCAGGUUGAGACGUGGAUCCUGACAAGCACAUAGCAAAACAAUUUGGAGAGGAGGAGAAGGCUUUAUUGAUCUGUACUGGGAUUGAGAGGUUCGAGUUGCCCAGGGAGGCUAAGCCAGUUACACCCUUAGCUAGGCCUUUCAGAAAACCAGUUCGAGCACAGGAAAAGAUGAAAUUAUCGAUCGAGGAAAGGGAGCCUAGGUUAUUGAGCAAGGCGAGAUAGUCAACAAGGGCAUCGUUGAGGCUAUUAACUUUUUUGUAGUGAACAGUUUCGAGGGGUUUGUCAAGGAGGAAGAGGAAAGAGUUGUUUGCACAAUUUGGACCCGGUGGACCGUCGCAAAUGUCCUCGCAACCGUAAGCACUAAGAGAAUUAGCGAUGGAACUGUUACAGGGGACAUGCUGGUAAGUGGAGGAAAUGUAGUCGUCGCAAUUUACCCAGCUGUAUGUAGCACCAAGAUCCAAGACCAAUUUGGUGGGCAUGAGAGGGGUUUUUAGGUAUGCAGUGAUGAUAUAUUGGCUGGUUGAAUGGUCCUUCUGGAUUGGCGUUUGGAGGGGCGUUUGGAGGGGAGGAGCUGCCUGAGAAGGGAUACACGAUAAGAGGAAGAAAAAAAUCAGAAGAGGGACUGCUAGCUUUGCCAUUGAUAAUUGUUUCGAGUGUUGUUGAGAGCAGGACUAAUUAUGAUCUAGAUAAUCAUGUGAGAGUCAUUUAUAGAGUUGCCAUGGAGUCCUCUGUUACAUGGGAAGUACGUGCAUGUUCUGUUCUGCCGGCGAUGAAUCUCAAGAUCUCUCUGUGUGCUGCACAUGACGGCAUACCGCUUAGGAAUUUUGCCUCCUGUAAUUGACUUGACUCGGAUAAAGAAGCAACUUGUAGCAUUCUGUGAGUGUGUGUCUUCAUGGAUAACACAACAGUUUCCUAAAAGUUGAUUGAUAUAAAUGAUUCGUUAAAAAAAUAUAUCUCGGAGAAACGUGUUUUGACUCUUGGUCAACGCAGAUAUAUUCCCUAAUGUUUUAAAUUUCAAUUUUUUUUUGUUGUAAUUUAUAUAUUCUUGAAUUAAAACCAGGUUAUAUUUAUUAGUUUAACCCACUAACCUACCUUUAUGAAGGUGAACAACAAAAUUAUUGAGAUUUAGUUAGUGUUUGGCAAAGCCCGUAGAGUGUAUUUUUAAAAACAUUUGAUUGUUUAAAAUUAAUUGUUUUACUGUUUUUAAAUUAUUUUUAUGUAAUGAUAUUAAAAAAAAUUUAAAAUUAAUAAAAAAAUUAUUUUAAUAUAUUUUGAAAUCAAUCAUAUAUAUAUAUAUAUAUAUAUAUAUAUAUAUAUAUGUAUUUGCAAAUUGAAAAUAUAUUAAUAAUGCCUACCUAUUUUUGUAUUGAAAUAUAUAAUUAAUAAUGCCAAACAUUUUCACGUAAAAACUACUUUGACUACAUCCAUUUCUAAAUGAAUAACAACCAAUAUUUCUAUAUGACAUUAAUUACAUUUCAUGACUUCACGUAAAACUUCUGUAAAAUUACAAGUCACAUAAAAUCACAUCAAUAAUCAUUACUUUAUAAUGACUUUAGCCAAAGCUUUUUUUUUUAUAUAUAUAUAUAUAUAUAUAUAUAGAUCAACACUCCAAUCAUGCUCCCACUGACUUCGAUGCCAUCACAAGACCAGCGGGAGAAAUGGUCGGAUUUGGCAUACUGUGUGUCACUGUCGGUGGCUUGUAUGUGGUGGAAGGAUUUGUUUUUUAUCGAUGGAAUCGUGAUUUUGGAUGGGCCAGGGGAGGGGAUAUUUUGGGGGGGAGGGAUAUUGGUGAGAACCUUGAAUAAUCCACCUUCAUUUCUCAUGGAAAGGUCUGCAUUAAACAUAAAAAUAUUAAUAAAUGCUAAGAAUUGUGCACAGAAAUAUAAAACGAAGAAGUGGAAUAUUUGCUAAAAAGAAAGAAUAAUAUUUUUAUAUCCAAUUCUUUUAUUAAUCACAUUAAAUAUUGUGCUUAUUAAUUCACUAUUCAUCAGAACACAAACCAUUGUUCUCUGCAACAAUUUUUUGUUUCACUUAGAAUUAUCUUGCUACUAUAAAAAAUACUAGUUGAAAUAUUGGAGAAAAAUUUUAAACACAUUAAAACAGAAGCCCAUAUGAAUAUUUACCUAGUAAAUAGUUACUUUUCACUGAGUGAUGAUGUCUAAAAAAAUCAAAGUAAUCUAGGAAUAGAGCUUUCGGAUUGAAUAAUUACUUAAUCAAUUGUUUUGAAUGUUUCAUGGUGGAUUUAUAGUUCAUGAGUUUUUUUUUUUUAUAUAGAGGAUUGUCUAUAGUGUAAUUUUACCCUUAUGAUAUUUGAAGUUGUAUUCUACUUAAAAUAAAACGUAUUAAAUCAAUAUAAAAUACUAAGAGAUAAAUUCUCUGAUGAGUGUUGGGCUUAGACAAGGUGUCUGAGCCCAUAAGAGGUGAAAGUGGGUAUGGGUGGGUUGCCUAGACCUAAACAUGCUAGGCUUGGGCUUGACAACUCAAGCCCAUAAAAGGUGAAAAUGGAUCUGGGCAUACUACUUAGACUUAAACACGUUGGGCUCAGGCAUGAAAUCUUGAUCCCACUAGAGGUGAAAGUGGGUUUAGGCGCGCUAUUUGGACCAAAGCAUGUUGGACUUAAGGCAUGGAAUCCCAAGCCCAUAAUAAUGCUGAGGUGGACGCCCAGCACCAAAGGUGCAGGGCAUGCGCCCUGCAUGGGCUCGAGCAAUAGCCUGAGCCCCCUCUUCUUGGGCCCCUAUAGUAUUUUGGGCUUAGAAAUCAACUUAGGGAUUGUUUUUAAUUGAAAAGACGAGAGAUGAGAAUUAACUUAAGGAUCUGCACAUCUUGAAAAAGAGACGAGAUUAUCUCAAGGAUUCAAUGACACGACCAAAAGAUUGAUGUCUUCUCCCAAGUGCAGGAGUGUCGAAGUAAUAAAUAACCCAGCAAGAUCGGGGUCGAACCAUAGAGAAGUUAAUUGUACAAAUUAUAAAUAACAAUAAUACAACAACAACAGUAACAACAAUAACAACAAUAAUUAUAAUAGUAAUAAUAGUAAUAGUAAUAAUAAUAAUAAUACUUAGUACGUAGCGUUGUUAUACUUGAGAAUGGUCUAAAAGAUCGGGUCACAGGUUUCCAGCCUAUAUACUGAGUUUAUGAAAAGAUCAAAGAGAUAUAUUAUAUAAUAUAAACAGAAUGUAAAUAAUAAUAAUAAUAAUAUUAAUAGUAAUAAUAAUAAUAGUAUUAGUAGUAGUAGUAGUAGUAGUAGUAGUAGUAGUAGUAGUAAUAAUAAUAAUAAUAAAAAAAAAAAAGAGGAGGAAGAAAUUAAUGAGAACUUUGAGAUGGAAGAUUAAUGUAAGGAUUAAACAAUGAUAAAAACAAAUGUCAAGGUUAGAGGAUCCACCAAUGGUAUUUCAAAUAAGUAUAGUAUAAACUCUUAUUACUCAAUUGAAAACCACACAUGAAGGAGGUUCCAAUCGGAUGAUUGUCAUUAAUAGCUCAAUAUAAUUUAUUAACAUGAUCAUAUUAAUUAUCUUAUUUACAUAACACCAAACUUUUAAAUAUUAUUAGGAAUUCAUGAUGAACUGAUGUUAACAACAAAUCAAGUUCCUUUCAUAGCACAGGUGUAGGUAAUACCAUACGGUUGUGCUAUGAGAGUGCCAAGCAUUUGUUGUACCAAGUGUUAUACAACACAAAUCUAGAUUAACCAUUUAACAAGCAAGGUAUUAAGAAUUAGUAAGAUAAAAAGAUAAGACAUGUUAAUAUUAAACAUUAAGGUCCAUGUUGAGUUUACACUAUACUUGUUCUUACACCAUUAGUGUAACCUUUUCACCUUGACAUAAUAAACUUAGCUAAACAUAAUGAAGAAGAGAAACAUAAAUAAACAAAACAAGAACAUAAAGAAAAUACAAGUUAACUAAGUAAAGGAAAGGAAAUGAAAAGCAUAAACAAGAUAUUAAUGAAAGCAAAACUUAAAAAUUACAAAAAAAUAUAAAGAGAGAAAUAAAGAGCAUGAACUUGAUCUGAACAACCAAGCCCUCAAAUACAUGGCAAAUGCCUCCUUUUAUAGGCCAAAAUUCAGAAUUAUUGAUUUGAUGACUAAUUGUUGAGUGGGUGGCCAACUUUUGACUUGGUGAAAAUCCUUAUCUUCUUGUCUGAAUAAAACAAAAAUGCUACCAUGAACUGGGUCCACUUGAAAACAUGAAAGUUGUAGGAAAUUGUCUUAGCUUUCCAGAAACAAAAAAAAUGGAGGUCAUUUGGACUUCUAGAACUCCAGAUAUGGGCCAAACACUGAACAUGUUCGGGCUGCAGGACAGAUUCAGACUUCUCCAUUGUUGCUAUAAUUUGGACUUGAAAACGGCCUUCUUAGAUCUUGAUGAAAACAUGAAAGUUGUAGGCCUAUGUCUUACAAAUCUGUGUAAAACAUUUGAGUCAUUUGGACAUCUAGAACUCGAGAUAUGACCCAAUUACCGAACAGUGUUCCAGUUUGGACUGCACCAACAUCUCUUUUCUAAGUUUCACCCUUCUUUAUCUUCAAAAUUUCAGUAGUUGAAUUCAUCAAUCAAUCCUUUGAUUUAUGUGAUAUGCCUGCAUUUAAGAUGAACAUUUACCAUAUAUUAGGGCAUUUUAUAGUAUUAGACUUGUUAUUAUAAAACAUGCUUUAGUUAAGGAGUUAUUGAUACUUUAAGUGCAAAAUGAUGAUAUAAAACCUUGAUAAAUAUGCACUUUUAAGUACUAAUCACACCCCCAACCAGCUUAUUACUAGUCCCUAGUAAUCAAAGCGUUAAAAUAGAAAAACAAUUUGCAAAUUCCACAAAGCAAGGCAUUCAUCAUUCAACUUACUUUAAUCUAUCCAGAUAAACAAACUCUCAUUAAAUUCAUAUAUCUGCUCAAUACCUCUUAAACAAGAUAUUACUAAACCUUUCUUUUGUGCUCAAAAUAUCAACAUAUAGUUAUGGGGCUUUACUUGGAAGAAAAACAAAUUUUUGCUCUAAUGUUUAAGGUUAACUUCCUUAGGUUGGGAUUAUUAUUUAUUUAUUUAUUUAUUUAUAUACACAUACAACUUGAAACACAAUGUAUCUUUAACCCAUGUAACGAGUUUUAGGCUAAUGACUCCCAGACUAGUUGGUCUUAGGGCAUUAGGUGUUGAGACACCCCUACGAGCUUACAACUCGGGUUGCAGAUACUGAUACGUAGAUAGUGCAAUGUUUGAUUCCCUUAAGCUUUUCUCCUCAACCCAUGUAACAAGCGUUGGGCCAAUAGCUCCCAAGUCAGUUGACUUUAGGGUAUUAAGUGUUAAAACACCCCUUCGGGCUUAAUUGCUUAGGUUAGGGAGGCUACGAAACCAAACUUAUCUACCUUUUUAUUAUCAUUUUUGUUUUUUUUUUGCAAAUUAUAUACUAUCCCUUUCCCUUAGUUGUUACCUUUAACAAAAGAACAUAAAUAAUGUAAUAAUCCAAUGUGCAACCCACAAUCAUAUGUUAAAGUGUGUGUGUGAAAAUGAAGAUUUAAGAAUACUUGUUAAAUGAGCAUAUGAGCAGAAUCAAGUGCUACCAAUACGAGAGUUUGUAAACCUGAAUAUUUCAAGAAGUAUUCUGAUAGACCUGUUAAGAAUGUUUACUAAGAUGCGUCUCAAGAGUCACUUUAACAAAAGAACUCCUUUUACUCUGCCAUCCUAGUAACAACAGUUUUGCAAAUAGUUUAUGAAAUAGAAAACACAGUUUUUUUUUUUAAUAUCAACUACUACCCUUUCCCCCCAACCAAAAUGAGACAUUGUCCUCAAUGUCUUAAGGUAGAAAGAUAGAGUAUAGAAGACAUCACCUGAAAUAGCAAACACUAACAAACCUGAAACACACUUAAACAAAUAUAAGAAACAACAAAACACAAUAAUAAAACCAAAAGACGCAAAUAUUUAUAGAUGAGAAAUUGAAAAUGCAAUCACACCACCUAUAUGUAGGCCAGUCGUAGUCUCACUCUCUUUCUCUCUUAUAUUUAUUUAUUUAUUUUGAAAAAGCAUGUGUAUGUACAGGUAGUUGUGAUUGUGGCUCACAUCUUUUCUUGGUUUUACGUCCAAAAACGGCUUAAACGCCCUCUAUGGGUCGGGGAUAGGCUUCCCAUCCAGUUUUCUUAAAAACUGGCAAACAAGGUCUUUUUUAGUCAGAUUCCCAAGACUAAGUCGAGCAUGUUCUUUAUGGAAUUGGGGCCAUAAAUCAUAAAUUGCAUGAUGCACAUCUCCACUAGGGUGCGUCUCAAGAGUCAAUAGAAGAUUAUCUAAAGACCCCUUACUCAGGCCAUCCUUAAUGAAUUGUAUUUUAUCUUCACGGUUUACAGAUACCAUUCCUAAAGAACGACAUGUCGCAUUACAAGUCCAUCUGGCACAUCUGUGACAGACUUGCAGUCGUUUUGCACGACGUUUCUUUGCAAAAGUGCUUUUACCUGUUCCAGGCAUGUGUGAAAUGAAAGAAUUGAAGGACUCACCUGAUAACCGACCUUUGCUUCAAUCAGCCAACGAAUAUCUUCAGGAAUUCCAUGGUUCAUUAACAACCUCAAUCUUGCACAUCUAGCACGGUAAAUUUUUGUAAUCGCAUUCUGAGGCAGAGCGGGAAAAUACUUUUUCAAUUUUUCAAGAGUGGUGUCCAUUUUCAAAUGAGAAUUGGAUGAGAGAUUCAAAGAAAUAAGAAAGAGCAGAGAAUUGCAUAAAUAUAUACACAGAUAUCAGUUAUCAUGGGAAACUGAAAGAACCGACUUAAGAGUCACGGAGUACCGUUAUCCGCCAUUUGACCGGGGUGAGAGAAACUAGCAAAACAAAAGUCACACCAAAAAGGAACACAAAAAAAAUGUGAGAAAAACAAAAUAAUCAACCUUUAUCUAACGAUCAUUCAAACCAAUGGAUUCAUUUUCACUAGGAAACUCAUCAAAGUAAGCUUUCAAACGAUGUCCAUUUACCUUCAAAACAUUGUCAUUCUUUGAAUUCUCAAUAUCAAGGGCCCCAUAAGGAUACACAUGUUUCAAAAUAAAUGGACCGCUCCAUCGUGAUCUUAUUUUUUCAGGAAAUAAAUGGAGUCGAGAAUUAUAAAGCAAAACUUUUUGACCAGUAUCAACUUUUUGACAAUUUUCACAAGUUUUGCAGAAUGCAUGCGUGUCCUUGAACAUGGUGGGCCAAUAAAAUCCUUUUUGUAAGAUUUUUGCAGUCGUCUUUCUUGAUGAGAAUUGACUCCCACAUGCUUCAGAAUGACAAAGUUUAAUGACACUACUUACCUCAUUGUCAGGAAUGCAUCUUUGAAAUUUUUGAUCAGGACAAUAUUUGAAUAAGUUAGGGUCAUCCCAAUAAAAGUUCUUCACUUCGUUCAAAAACUUUCCUUUGUCUUCAGUACUCCAGUGAGCUGGCAAAUCCUGAAGCAAGAAAAUUGAUAUUUUUAGCAAACCAAGGCAUUGAACUAAGAGAAAGUAAGGAUUCUCAGGAGAGUAAUCAUCGAUUGUGGAUGUCAGAUGUCAAAUCUGUUGUCACUCUUGACAAAAGAUGCAUCAAUAUUUUUGGUGCCUUUUUCAUCCGUGAUUUCUUCCUGAGAAUAAAUCAUUUGCAAUCUUCAGAUUCAUCCAAUUCAAUUUUACUCAAAUAGAUUCAAUUGAUCAUGAACUAAUUCUGACAAGCACAUAGCAAAACAAUUCGGAGAGGAGGAGAAGGCUUUAUUGAUCUGCACUGGGAUUGAGAGGUUCGAGUUUCCCAGGGAGGCUAAGCCAGUUACACCCUUAGCCAGGCCUUUCAGCAAAACCAGUUCGAGAACAGGAAAAGAUGAAAUUAUCGAUCGAGGAAAGAGAGCCUAGGUUAUUGAGCAAGGCGAGAUAGUCAAUAAGGGCAUCGUUGAGGGUAUUAACUUUCUUGUAGUCAACAGUUUCGAGGGGUUUCUAGAGGAGGAAGAUGAAAGAGUUGUUUGCACAAUUUGGACCCGGUGGACCGUCGCAAAUGUCCUCGCAACCGUAAGCACUAAGAGAAUUAGCGAUGGAACUGUUACAGGGACAUUCUGAUUUUGUAUGAUUUUCAUCUGAUAGUUCCUUACAUCUGUUUCAAGCAAUUGUUUUUAAUUAUAGGAUGGAAUUGAAUUGCCACGUUGUGAGUAUCAUUUACAAACGUAGUAGAGAAAUGUGAAAGCAGUGUGUUGUGGAAGCUUGUGUGGAUUAAUAAUGAAGUUGCCAAAGAAAAAAAAGAGCAACAGUUAUAGGAACCCAUCUCCUCUUCCUUACAUUGUUGUGCAAGUUGUUGAUUUUGGCCACUAAAAAUGACCCCAAAAUCAGAAUUGGAGGAGCUACGAUUAUUAUUAUUAUUAUUAUUCUCUUGAAGACCAAUAAUGGUGGUGAAUCUAGGAGAAAAGGACUUGUAAGAAUCUUGCAAUUCUUGUAAACAAUUGUUGUUUCCUGGCUUAGCAGCAAGAUUUGGAAAACAAAAUGGGUUGAGUUCUUCAUCAUCGUCAUCAAAAGUCAAAGAAAAAGGCUUUCAUAAUUCUCAUAUGUUGAUAUUGCUGUGUCUUCUUUUUUAAUUAAUAUUGAUAUCGAGUUAAUUUAUAUAUAUUUCUAUUAAUCUUAAGAAUUUUAAAAUUAAUAAUUAUAAAAGUUUUCAGUAAUCUUAAAACAACUCAAACUUAUAAUUAUUAAAAAAUUAAUCUAAAACUUUAGCAGCUAACUAUAUUUGCUACAGCUAUUUCUGUUUGUAGUGCUGUUUGAAGUGGUAGUAGCAGAGGCAAGGUUGUCAAUUCCGUUCCGUUCCGCCCGGAAUGGCCGAAACAUUCCAUACCAAUUCAAAAAACGGAACAAAUUCCAUCUCAUUUUAAAUCUCGGCCCGUUCCGGAAAUUCCGGCCAAAUUCCGGCCGAAACGUUCCGGUUUCAUUCCGGUUGUUCCGUUUCGGCCAAAAAAUAUUAUUUUAAAAAAAUUAAUAUAUGGUUUAUAUUAUUUUAAGUUAAAGAUCUAUUUAAUCUUUACUAUUUAAAAAUAUUUUAAAUUUUAAAAUUAUAUUUGUUUGGCAUUAUGUUUGUAUUGCAUAAUUUAUAAUUAAUUUAUCUUGAAUUUGAAUUAUGUUUGUGGAAUAUAUAUAUAUAUAUAUAUGAACAGUACAACCCCGAAACGGCACGCCAAAACACUCCGAAACCGAAACAUUUCGUUCCAAUUGAAAAAACGAAACACCUACCGAAACGGAAUUGACAAACUUGAGCAGAGGUACAGUUGCUUAGCAUUGCAUACAAAUCUCUGUCCAUUUUAUAAAAUUAGGUGGGCCAUAUAAGUGGGAGCUAAUGUAGUAAAAUAAAAGUGGCUGCAUGAGUGGAGCCUAUUUAAAUUCACCAUAACGACAGCAUUAUUGUUUGAAGUUUAAAUUUACUGUAACGAUAUAAUUAUUGUGUGAAACUUAAAUCAACCAUGACAAUUAAACUGAUAUUUCAAAAUCUAAAUCGGUUGCAACGGUGGACCUAUUUUUUUAAAAUUUUAGGUGUUUUUUACUGAUGCAGGGGUAGGCAUAUACAAACUCAUUUUUUUUCUCUAAUUUCUUUUAAUAUAUGCAUCCUUUUAUUCAUUUAUUUGAGAACACGAACUGUUAUUACAAAGCUAGAUAGGCCUGUCUUUGCCCUUAGCUUAAUGAAGGUAGAAAAACUCAACGAAAGCAUGCAUACAGUACAUGAUGGAUGGUAUAACCGUAUAAAUACAUCAUCUUUUUAGACUUUUCUGGUAGGAAAUUCGUAGUCUGCGCAAUUGGUCCCCUUGGACAAAAUUGAUGAACUGAAACCCAGUUUCUGUGACUGUAGAUCGAAUUGUAGCAAAUUGUCCUCCAACUGAAGACCACCAAUCAUGAUCGAUGGGCCAUCAAUCCCACCAUCCACAAAACCCAAGCACCAAAGAUCAACACUCUUCUUUGUAACCCUCACCAUAGAGUUCGAUCCAAACAUCUUCCAAACCACAUCUUGUCUAUCCAACACAAGUUCGAUUAUUGGUACAGCCGGUCCCAUUUGUGUCGUCUUCACAGCACCCGCAGGGUAGCAGACUUUGAAUGGCUUGACAGGCUUUGUUGUAGUAAGAUUGAAAGCAGAGGAAGCUGCUUCCUUCAAGAAAGCCAGAGUAAAAGCCUUGUAAAUAGAACUGUGUAACUUCAUGUAUGGCACAAGAGUGCUAAUCCUGGUCCCCCAGAACCUCGAUCAUCAAAGGCCAACAGCGCUUUGUUAAAACCACCAUCUUUCCGUUCACUUUUAUGGAAGUCAGCCCUACAUAAUACUCAGGAGAUCUGUGGGAAUACGGAUCAGAAUCUCUUCCAAACGGGUUAAAAAUAAGAGGAGUGUAAAGAAGUGAUUUUGAGAGGUCAAUUCCAUGCAAGAAAUUAUAAGGCCCUUGACUACCGAAAAGAGCCACACCAGGUUGAGAGAUGGAUCCUGACAAGCACAUAGCAAAACAAUUUGGAGAGGAGGAGAAGGCUUUAUUGAUCUGUACUGGGAUUGAGAGGUUCGAGUUGCCCAGGGAGGCUAAGCCAGUUACACCCUUAGCCAGGCCUUUCAGCAAACC